CAGUCGCCGCGGGAACACGAAGGGUGCAAGCGUUACUCGGAAUUACUGGGCGUAAAGCGUGUGUAGGUGGUUGUUUAAGUCUGUCGUGAAAGCCCUGGGCUCAACCUGGGAAUUGCGAUGGAUACUGGGCGACUAGAGUGCGGUAGAGGAUAGUGGAAUUUCCGGUGUAGCAGUGAAAUGCGUAGAGAUCGGAAGGAACAUCUGUGGCGAAGGCGACUAUCUGGGCCAACACUGACACUGAGACACGAAAGCGUGGGGAGCAAACAGGAUUAGAUACCCCUGUAGUCCCUGUCUCUUAUAC
This 301-nucleotide ribosomal RNA is filed under the name uncultured bacterium. RNAcentral's name for it is "partial 16S ribosomal RNA". It matches the Rfam family "Bacterial small subunit ribosomal RNA", at positions 509 to 807 of the family's 1533-position model. The record is from RNAcentral.